Molecule: ribosomal RNA, 440 nt
Filed under: uncultured bacterium
Lineage: Bacteria
Description: partial 16S ribosomal RNA
Rfam family: Bacterial small subunit ribosomal RNA
Source: RNAcentral
CUACGGGCUGCACCAGUGGGGAAUAUUGGACAAUGGGCGAAAGCCUGAUCCAGCAAUGCCGCGUGAGUGAUGAAGGCCUUAGGGUUGUAAAGCUCUUUUACCCGGGAUGAUAAUGACAGUACCGGGAGAAUAAGCUCCGGCUAACUCCGUGCCAGCAGGCCGCGGUAAUACGGAGGGAGCUAGCGUUGUUCGGAAUUACUGGGCGUAAAGCGCACGUAGGCGGCUUUGUAAGUUAGGGGUGAAAGCCUGGAGCUCAACUCCAGAAUUGCCUUUAAGACUGCAUCGCUCGAAUCCAGGAGAGGUGAGUGGAAUUCCGAGUGUAGAGGUGAAAUUCGUAGAUAUUCGGAAGAACACCAGUGGCGAAGGCGGCUCACUGGACUGGUAUUGACGCUGAGGUGCGAAAGCGUGGGGAGCAAACAGGAUUAGAUACCCCAGUAGUC